This 129-nucleotide small nucleolar RNA is filed under the name Eutrema salsugineum. Its description in RNAcentral is "Small nucleolar RNA snoR74". It matches the Rfam family "Small nucleolar RNA snoR74". The record is from Rfam by way of RNAcentral. Lineage: Eukaryota; Viridiplantae; Streptophyta; Magnoliopsida; Brassicales; Brassicaceae.
CAAAAAGCAGGGCUCUGCUUGUACAUAACAGAGCUCACGUAAAUGUCAGGAAAAUCGAAUUGGUCAUCGUGAUUGGGUGAACCUACGUUUCUUCUAAUAGCUGAUGGUUCAGUACAUGAUGGUACAUUU